UGGCGGACGGGUGAGUAACGCGUGGGGGAACCUGCCCUGUACAGGGGGAUAACACGUUAGAAAUAGGUGCUAAUACCGCAUAAGCGCACAGUAUCGCAUGAUACAGUGUGAAAAACUCCGGUGGUACAGGAUGGACCCGCGUCUGAUUAGCUGGUUGGCGGGGUAACGGCCCACCAAGGCGACGAUCAGUAGCCGGCCUGAGAGGGUGAACGGCCACAUUGGGACUGAGACACGGCCCAAACUCCUACGGAAGGCAGCAG
Molecule: ribosomal RNA, 260 nt
Filed under: uncultured bacterium
Lineage: Bacteria
Description: partial 16S ribosomal RNA
Rfam family: Bacterial small subunit ribosomal RNA
Source: RNAcentral